Helianthus annuus (common sunflower) is the source of this 450-nucleotide long non-coding RNA. RefSeq lists it as uncharacterized. Lineage: Eukaryota; Viridiplantae; Streptophyta; Magnoliopsida; Asterales; Asteraceae. The transcript is spliced from 2 exons. The record is from RefSeq and is a predicted model, not a curated record.
UAUACAUUGAUUCAUUGCUAAUUAUAUAUCUAUGGAUGUGAUUUCAGGUGAAUUAGACAUGUAGCCAACCAUUUUCUCUUCAAGGCAUGACCUUGGUUUAAAAAAGCGGGAAGCGCACAAAAGCGACGAGGUCUAAAACAGAAGCGCAAAAGUGGUGACCUUUUCGUACGCAAUUAUGGGUUGGAUUGGACCUGACUGAAGAUUUAUGAGUUUCAAGCAAUUUUUCUUUACCUGUAUGAACUGCACUUUGUUUGCGACUUGCCGAGUUAUUAUGUUAAACUAUGUAAGCAAAGAUAAUAUUGUCUUUAUAUAUGGGGUUUAGGUGAUUGAGAAGUGGUAGGUAAGUAUGGCUGGGAAAUCAAGCAUAGGCUGCGAAAUGCUGCCAAACUGGUCGUCUCUGUUUGAAUUUUAAUCUUGGGUGUCAAAUCACAAUCGAAUUACUUAGGUUUU